UAUUUUGCACUGCAUUUUGGUUGACAAUCCGCCACAGGCGAAUUUCAUUAAAAGGGAAUCAAGUUUAAAUCUUGAACUAUCCCCGUAGCUGUAAGCUCCGACUAAGUUGUUUAAUCCUCAUGCCACUGUCUUAUGGACGGGAAGGCUUUAAACAAUGGAGCAAGUCAGAAGACCUGCCAGAAUCAAACAUUUAGU
Molecule: non-coding RNA, 195 nt
Filed under: Bacteroidetes bacterium UKL13-3
Lineage: Bacteria; Pseudomonadati; Bacteroidota
Also listed under: 1 other name
Source: RNAcentral